RNAcentral lists this ribosomal RNA (640 nucleotides) under Klebsiella pneumoniae. RNAcentral describes it as "bacterial SSU rRNA". It matches the Rfam family "Bacterial small subunit ribosomal RNA", at positions 1 to 632 of the family's 1533-position model. The record is from RNAcentral. Lineage: Bacteria; Pseudomonadati; Pseudomonadota; Gammaproteobacteria; Enterobacterales; Enterobacteriaceae.
AAAUUGAAGAGUUUGAUCAUGGCUCAGAUUGAACGCUGGCGGCAGGCCUAACACAUGCAAGUCGAGCGGUAGCACAGAGAGCUUGCUCUCGGGUGACGAGCGGCGGACGGGUGAGUAAUGUCUGGGAAACUGCCUGAUGGAGGGGGAUAACUACUGGAAACGGUAGCUAAUACCGCAUAACGUCGCAAGACCAAAGUGGGGGACCUUCGGGCCUCAUGCCAUCAGAUGUGCCCAGAUGGGAUUAGCUAGUAGGUGGGGUAACGGCUCACCUAGGCGACGAUCCCUAGCUGGUCUGAGAGGAUGACCAGCCACACUGGAACUGAGACACGGUCCAGACUCCUACGGGAGGCAGCAGUGGGGAAUAUUGCACAAUGGGCGCAAGCCUGAUGCAGCCAUGCCGCGUGUGUGAAGAAGGCCUUCGGGUUGUAAAGCACUUUCAGCGGGGAGGAAGGCGUUAAGGUUAAUAACCUCAUCGAUUGACGUUACCCGCAGAAGAAGCACCGGCUAACUCCGUGCCAGCAGCCGCGGUAAUACGGAGGGUGCAAGCGUUAAUCGGAAUUACUGGGCGUAAAGCGCACGCAGGCGGUCUGUCAAGUCGGAUGUGAAAUCCCCGGGCUCAACCUGGGAACUGCAUUCGAAA